This 497-nucleotide ribosomal RNA is filed under the name uncultured bacterium. RNAcentral describes it as "partial 16S ribosomal RNA". It matches the Rfam family "Bacterial small subunit ribosomal RNA", at positions 28 to 507 of the family's 1533-position model. The record is from RNAcentral.
GAUGAACGCUGGCGGCGUGCCUAAUACAUGCAAGUCGAGCGAACGGACGAGAAGCUUGCUUCUCUGAUGUUAGCGGCGGACGGGUGAGUAACACGUGGAUAACCUACCUAUAAGACUGGGAUAACUUCGGGAAACCGGAGCUAAUACCGGAUAGUAUUUUGAACCGCAUGGUUAAAAAGUGAAAGACGGUCUUGCUGUCACUUAUAGAUGGAUCCGCGCUGCAUUAGCUAGUUGGUAAGGUAACGGCUUACCAAGGCAACGAUGCAUAGCCGACCUGAGAGGGUGAUCGGCCACACUGGAACUGAGACACGGUCCAGACUCCUACGGGAGGCAGCAGUAGGGAAUCUUCCGCAAUGGGCGAAAGCCUGACGGAGCAACGCCGCGUGAGUGAUGAAGGUCUUCGGAUCGUAAAACUCUGUUAUUAGGGAAGAACAUAUGUGUAAGUAACUGUGCACAUCUUGACGGUACCUAAUCAGAAAGCCACGGCUAACUACGUG